UCGGAUGUGGUGCAUGGUGCCCGUCUGCCGAAUAUGAUAGAAAUCUCGUAUAAGUGGAAGCAGACGAGCGGGGUUCGACUCCCCGCAUCCGAA
Mycena crocata is the source of this 93-nucleotide non-coding RNA. Lineage: Eukaryota; Fungi; Basidiomycota; Agaricomycetes; Agaricales; Mycenaceae. The record is from the annotation of a GenBank genome assembly.